RNAcentral lists this non-coding RNA (23 nucleotides) under Arabidopsis thaliana (thale cress). The record is from RNAcentral. Lineage: Eukaryota; Viridiplantae; Streptophyta; Magnoliopsida; Brassicales; Brassicaceae.
ACUGGAAGUACCUCAUAGCACCA